AGAUAAUGGAACCCAAGGACACUGAAUACUCUGAUUUGUUCUCCAAAAGCACCAGUCUUAAUAGCAAUAAAAAUGGCUGAGGAUAUCUGCUCCAUCAAGGGCACUUUGAGGACAGUUUAGGAACCCUACCUCGCCGUGAUUCCAUAGGAGACGACACAGAGGAAAACAAGUUGACUGUGCUGCCCCAGGAUAGAAGAAUCAAGAAGCUCGCUCUGGACGUCGGUACCACGUGAACCGGAGGCAGCACUACCGGAAGCCGCGAGGCUCAGCACUCAUUCAGGAAGCCAUAAAAGUGGAGGGAAGUGUGCUGUCCCAGGUUCACACACGAUCACGUGGCUGGACGAAGGACUCCGCUAGUGAGCACGUGUCUACACGCGUGUAUCCUCUGGGUGAUCUGCUAGCCUCAGCUGAGAAAGAGUAUU
This is a long non-coding RNA of Suricata suricatta (meerkat), 422 nucleotides long. RefSeq lists it as uncharacterized. Lineage: Eukaryota; Metazoa; Chordata; Mammalia; Carnivora; Herpestidae. The record is from RefSeq and is a predicted model, not a curated record. The transcript has 5 exons.